RNAcentral lists this transfer RNA (72 nucleotides) under Pangasianodon hypophthalmus (striped catfish). It matches the Rfam family "tRNA". Rfam says of the family: Transfer RNA (tRNA) molecules are approximately 80 nucleotides in length. Their secondary structure includes four short double-helical elements and three loops (D, anti-codon, and T loops). Lineage: Eukaryota; Metazoa; Chordata; Actinopteri; Siluriformes; Pangasiidae. The record is from Rfam by way of RNAcentral.
UCCCUGGAGGACUAGUGGUUAGGCCACAGCGCUCUUACCACUGCAGCCCGGGUUUAAUUCCCUGCCAGGGAA